RNAcentral lists this ribosomal RNA (300 nucleotides) under uncultured Marinomonas sp. RNAcentral describes it as "bacterial SSU rRNA". It matches the Rfam family "Bacterial small subunit ribosomal RNA", at positions 114 to 417 of the family's 1533-position model. The record is from RNAcentral. Lineage: Bacteria; Pseudomonadati; Pseudomonadota; Gammaproteobacteria; Oceanospirillales; Oceanospirillaceae.
CGCGUAGGAAUCUACCUGGUAGUGGGGGACAACAUGUGGAAACGCAUGCUAAUACCGCAUACGCCCUACGGGGGAAAGCGGGGGAUCUUCGGACCUCGUGCUAUCAGAUGAGCCUGCGUAAGAUUAGCUAGUUGGUGGGGUAAAGGCCUACCAAGGCAACGAUCUUUAGCUGGUCUGAGAGGAUGAUCAGCCACACUGGGACUGAGACACGGCCCAGACUCCUACGGGAGGCAGCAGUGGGGAAUAUUGGACAAUGGGCGCAAGCCUGAUCCAGCUAUGCCGCGUGUGUGAAGAAGGCUC